CCCCCCCACUUUCUGAGUUUGACCUCGAAUCAGGUAGGAUUACCCGCUGAACUUAAGCAUAUCAAUAAGCGGAGGAAAAGAAACCAACAGGGAUUGCCCUAGUAACGGCGAGUGAAGCGGCAACAGCUCAAAUUUGAAAUCUGGCCUCGGGUCCGAGUUGUAAUUUGUAGAGGAUGCUUUUGGUGCGGUACCUUCCGAGUUCCCUGGAACGGGACGCCAUAGAGGGUGAGAGCCCCGUCUGGUUGGAUACCAAUCCUCUGUAAAGCUCCUUCAACGAGUCGAGUAGUUUGGGAAUGCUGCUCUAAAUGGGAGGUAUAUGUCUUCUAAAGCUAAAUAUUGGCCAGAGACCGAUAGCGCACAAGUAGAGUGAUCGAAAGAUGAAAAGCACUUUGAAAAGAGAGUUAAAAAGUACGUGAAAUUGUUGAAAGGGAAGCGCUUAUGACCAGACUUGGACUUGGUUGAUCAUCCUGGGUUCUCCCUGGUGCACUCUUCCAGUUCAGGCCAGCAUCAGUUCAUCGCGGGGGAUAAAGGCUUCGGGAAUGUGGCUCCCUCGGGAGUGUUAUAACCCGUUGUGUAAUACCCUGCUUUGGACUGAGGUUCGCGCAUCUGCAAGGAUGCUGGCGUAAUGGUCAUCAGCGACCCGUCUUGAAACACGGACCAAGGAGUCGUCUUCGUAUGCGAGUGUUCGGGUGUUAAACCCCUACGCGUAAUGAAAGUGAACGCAGGUGAGAGCUUCGGCGCAUCAUCGACCGAUCCUGAUGUUCUCGGAUGGAUUUGAGUAAGAGCAUACGGGGCCGGACCCGAAAGAAGGUGAACUAUGCCUGUAUAGGGUGAAGCCAGAGGAAACUCUGGUGGAGGCUCGCAGCGGUUCUGACNUGCCAAUCGAUCGUCAAAUNUGGGNNUGGGGGNNAAGACNNNNNNANNNNNNNANNNGCUNGNUNNNNCCGAAGUUCCCCUAGA
Molecule: ribosomal RNA, 960 nt
Filed under: Cylindrocladiella clavata
Lineage: Eukaryota; Fungi; Ascomycota; Sordariomycetes; Hypocreales; Nectriaceae
Description: partial 28S ribosomal RNA
Rfam family: Eukaryotic large subunit ribosomal RNA
Source: RNAcentral